RNAcentral lists this long non-coding RNA (284 nucleotides) under Neogobius melanostomus (round goby). RNAcentral's name for it is "lncRNA (ENSNMLG00000007863.1)". Lineage: Eukaryota; Metazoa; Chordata; Actinopteri; Gobiiformes; Gobiidae. The record is from RNAcentral.
UGUCCUGUCCAGAGAGAAACUGAAGCUGCUCUUUCAAAAACAGCACUGUGAGCCAAAAACGGCACCUUGCCAUCCUGGAAGGGUGAGGACGCACUACCCACAAUCCCCUGCUGCAGUGUCCCGCUCUGAGCUGCUGCAGUGUCCCGCUCUGAGCUGCUGCUGCAGUGUCCCGCUCUGAGCUGCGCAGUGUCCGCUCUGAGCUGCUGCAGUGUCCCGCUCUGAGCUGCUUUGCUGCAGUGUUCCCGCUCUGAGCUGCUGCGUGUCCGCUCUGAGCUGCAGCAGUG